CUUGGAAGCAGCCAUCCUUGAAAGAGUGCGUAAUAGCUCACUGGUCAAGUGAUUCCGCGCCGACAAUUCAGCGGGGCUCAAGCCGUCCGCCGAAGCUGUGGCGUCCGCGCGUGUGCCAGGCGCCGGGUCCUGCCCGGUGUCCAGGCGCGUGGAUGGGUAGGGGAGCGUUGUGCGUGCCGUGAAGCGUCGGGGUGACCCGGUGUGGAGUGCGCGCAAGUGAGAAUGCAGGCAUGAGUAGCGUUUUGACGGGUGGGAAACCCGUCCGCCGAAUAUCCAAGGGUUCCGGGGUCAAGUUGAUCUGCCCCGGGUGAGUCGGGUCCUAAGGCGAGGCCGACAGGCGUAGUCGAUGGUUGACGGGUUGAUAUUCCCGUACCGGCCCAGCAACGUUCCUGUCGAAUCGGAUGAUGCUAAGCACGCGAGAUGUCUCCGGCGCUUUCGGGUGCUGGUGGUGUCGAGUCUGUGAACCGAGUCUGUAGUAGACAAGCUGCGGAGGGACGCAGGAAGGUGGCUCGACAGCCGUCAUGGUAAGGCUGUCAAGUCUGUAGGGUGACUGGUAGGCAAAUCCGCUGGUCGUGUGCCUGAGAGAUGAUGAGAGGGGCCCUGUGAGAGGGUCCGUGUUCGAGUGAUCCUAUGCUGCCUAGAAAAGCUUCGUGAGCGAGUUGUUGUGCCGCCCGUACCCCAAACCGACACUGGUGGAUAGGUAGAGAAUACCGAGGCGAUCGAGAUAAUCGUGGUGAAGGAACUCGGCAAAAUCCUCCCGUAACUUCGGAAUAAGGGAGACUUGAGGCGUGAGGGGCCCGCGCGGCCCUCAGCGCCGGGAGUCGCAGUGAAUUGACCCAAGCGACUGCUUACUAAAAGCACAGGUCCGUGCGAAGUCGUAAGACGAUGUAUACGGACUGACUCCUGCCCGGUGCUGGAAGGUCAAGGGGAACCGUCAGCCUCACGGCGAAGCGGUGAACUUAAGCCCCAGUAAACGGCGGUGGUAACUAUAACCAUCCUAAGGUAGCGAAAUUCCUUGUCGGGUAAGUUCCGACCUGCACGAAUGGAGUAACGACUUGGGUACUGUCUCCACCACGAACUCGGUGAAAUUGCAUUACGAGUAAAGAUGCUCGUUACGCGCAGCAGGACGGAAAGACCCCGGGACCUUUACUACAGUUUGGUAUUGGUGAUCGGUGCGACUUGUGUAGGAUAGGUGGGAGACUGUGAAGCGGCCACGCCAGUGGCCGUGGAGUCGUCGUUGAAAUACCACUCUGGUCGUUCUGGUUAUCUAACCUCGGACCGUGACCCGGUUCAGGGACAGUGCCUGAUGGGUAGUUUGACUGGGGCGGUCGCCUCCCAAAGAGUAACGGAGGCGCCCAAAGGUCCCCUCAGCCUGGUCGGCAACCAGGUGUCGAGUGCAAGUGCACAAGGGGGCUUGACUGUGAGACGGACACGUCGAGCAGGGACGAAAGUCGGGACUAGUGAUCUUCUGGUGGCGUGUGGAAGCGCCAGAACUCAACGGAUAAAAGGUACCCCGGGGAUAACAGGCUGAUCUUGCCCGAGCGCUCACAGCGACGGCAUGGUUUGGCACCUCGAUGUCGGCUCGUCGCAUCCUGGGGCUGGAGUCGGUCCCAAGGGUUGGGCUGUUCGCCCAUUAAAGCGGCACGCGAGCUGGGUUAAGAACGUCGUGAGACAGUUCGGUCCCUAUCCGCUGCGCGCGUAGGAAUCUUGAGAAGGGCUGUCCUCAGUACGAGAGGACCGGGACGGACCAACCUCUGGUGUGCCAGUUGUUCCUCCAGGAGCAUGGCUGGUUGGCUACGUUGGGAAGUGAUAACCGCUGAAAGCAUCUAAGUGGGAAGCACGCUUCAAGAUGAGGAUUCCCCAGCCUCGUGCUGGUAAGGCCCCCGGCAGACCACCGGGUUGAUGGGUCGGACGUGGAAGCGCCGCGAGGCGUGGAGCUGACCGAUCCCAAACGGCCGAGAGGCUUGCCACA
Molecule: ribosomal RNA, 1972 nt
Filed under: human oral metagenome
Description: bacterial LSU rRNA
Rfam family: Bacterial large subunit ribosomal RNA
Source: RNAcentral